RNAcentral lists this ribosomal RNA (175 nucleotides) under Chromadorella sp. 25P7G16. Its description in RNAcentral is "partial small subunit ribosomal RNA". It matches the Rfam family "Eukaryotic small subunit ribosomal RNA", at positions 768 to 945 of the family's 1831-position model. Lineage: Eukaryota; Metazoa; Nematoda; Chromadorea; Chromadorida; Chromadoridae. The record is from RNAcentral.
AGAGUGCUUAACGCAGGCAUUGGCCUGAAUAGUGGUGCAUGGAAUAAUGGAAUAGGACCUCGGUUCUAUUUUGUUGGUUUUCGGAGCAGAGGUAAUGAUUAAGAGGGACAGACGGGGGCAUUCGUACUGCUACGUUAGAGGUGAAAUUCUUGGAUCGUAGCAUGACGAACUACUG